UUUAAACCGUUGAAUGAUGAAGAUGCAAUGACCCUAUUUUAUCAUUCUACUUCACUCGAAGAUAAUAGCUCUUAUGUUCCACAACCCCUUGCCAAACAUGUGAUUUAUUAAAUUCAAUGCAUGGCAUAUCCUCAUUCAUAUAUUUGUAUAUGCUUGCAUUCGUUUUCUCUCUUUCAUCAAACCAUUCAGAACAUUUAGAGAAUCUAGAAUUUGAGUCUCAAUUCAAAAGUAAUUGACUUUCAUUGGGACAAUUGAACUGCAGAUAGUAGAACACUGUAAGGGAUUUCCACUUGCCAUUUCAGCCAUCGGAAGAUCACUUUGUGGACAAUCCAUAGAGACUUGGACUAGAAGACUAAGGGUUUGGUGUGAAGAUUCUUCUCUUCUUGAUUCCGAAACCGAUUUCCUUGGUUGCUUCCAAAGUAACUUAGAUGCAUUGGGUAAAAAAGACCCAGCAUUAGGAAAUGUUUCAUAGACCUUGAUUCAUUUCUUGAAAAUCAAAGAAUCCAUGUGGCUAACCUCAUUGAUAUAUGGACAGAGUUAUAUGAUCUAGAUGAAGACACUCUACCCAUUGCGAACCUCCACGAAAACUCACCUGGCUAAUUAUAUAGUCACAA
RNAcentral lists this long non-coding RNA (614 nucleotides) under Prunus dulcis (almond). RNAcentral's name for it is "sRNA ncRNA". Lineage: Eukaryota; Viridiplantae; Streptophyta; Magnoliopsida; Rosales; Rosaceae. The record is from RNAcentral.